RNA transcript from Raphanus sativus (radish), 6245 nucleotides. It is a transcript of the gene named disease resistance protein TAO1-like, with no coding region annotated. The record is from RefSeq and is a predicted model, not a curated record. NCBI's taxonomy places the organism in Eukaryota, Viridiplantae, Streptophyta, Magnoliopsida, Brassicales, Brassicaceae. The transcript has 6 exons.
UAUUAAGUCCGGUUUAUUUCGUCUGAAAACAGCAAACAGUUCGAUGAUAAAGGCUAUGGUGGUUGCUCUUUCUUCUCCAGGCGCUGCCUUUAGUCAGUCUUUCACUCUCCGGCCGUAUCUUCGUCGUCAGGCGCUAGUCUUCGUGUUCGAUCUCUUUCAAUUCAUCUUACUUCUCGCUCUGUACUUGUUGUUGCUCGUGGGAAGAACGGAAGGGAUUCACUUCUCGCUGUUUGAUCUAACUGGAUUGAAUAAUGAUGAAUCGUCAAUAGAAGAUGAGGAGAUAAGCGAAGAAGACGUAGAUUCAGUAGAAGCAGAGUAAGCUCAAGUUUUGGGUGGUGAUGACGAUGUUCAUGGCAUCGACUUGUUCGGUUCAGCUAUCAGUGUGUGUGUGUGUGUGUGUGUGUGUGUGUAUAGGAUGCUGGUGGUUAGCAGCAUUGUUCAAGUUGACUCAGCUUGAUUUCGGUUCGGUUUCAUUUCCUUCCUUUUUCAAAUUUAUAUAAAUUUCCUAUUUUUAACAUAGAAUGAAUGGACGAUUACUAAAAAAAAAUUAGUUUAAAACUUGCUUGGUGUGGUUGGACAGUUUGCUAGCUUUGGAAUUGUAUCAAUCGGCUAUGAAAUAGAAAAUUCUUACGUUCUUUCCUUUUUACUGUUUUUUAGAAACAAAAAAGAAGUUGUGUGUGUUUCCACUGUCUUCUUUGUGCUUUUGAGAGUUAGUUGUGCUUUUUCUUGGAUAUCAUUAUUUCUACUAUAGUCGUCUUUGUAAAUUUCUGUGAGGAAAUUUCAAGGAAGUAGGUAUACGGAGAAAAGCAGCAGCCAAUUCAAUUUUUUUUAUUGCUAGUGGUUUCAUCAUUCCUAGUCAUCAUUCUGUGUUCAAUGUAUACAAAGUUUCUUUGUAGUUUCUUCUUCCACAUUGUGAUCCCUUUAAAGGUUUCUAAUACUGAUCGUCUUUCCAUAACACUACUCCGUCGUCUUCUUCGUCUCCAACAAGAACAAAAAGGUGAGAAAAUCACACAACUCGUUCUCAUUCGCUUGUAUAUCGUGAAAUGAGAACUUUCGCAGUAAAUUUGAGGAGGAGAAUGAUCCGUUUGAGGCACUGUUUAAUCUACUGGAAGAAGAUUUGAAUAAAUGAUUAUAUCUUCAAUAGAAGAUGAGGAAACAAGCGACGAAGACUUAGAUGCACUAGCGUUGAAGAUUGCCAUGAUGAUGAUGACAGCGUAUAAGAUGAAAGACCAGCUAAGCUGAAGAAUUGGCAGCUUAGAAGAUUGGCUUAUGCAUUGAAAGCUGGACGGCGGAAAGCUAGUAUUCUGAAAAACACAACAGGAAACAAGAGAGGAGGCGGUGGUUCUAACGCUGAGGCAAGCCUUUGAUCUCUCUGUUCUUGUUCUUGUGCUAUAUAUGUGGAUAAAGUUUACAGGGCCCUGAAUUAAUAAAUAAUCAUAUUGCAUGGGAUGUGACUUGUGAGAAGAGCUAAAAUCAAAAAAAUGUAGACAGAGUUCUUUGUUGGUCAGAUAGAUUUUCUUAAUUCAAAUUGUCAUUUUGUUGUAUGAUAUUGAUCAAUGGGUUUCCUUAUGCAAAUAGAACAAAGAGGGUUGCUGUUUUAGAUCUCAGUGACAGGGAUGAACAUCCUUGCAAGUAAACUUUGCUUUCGUUUUCCAAAUUUCAGGGAACUCAAUUUUUGAUCACUGCCUCCUUGAAAGAUUGUUUGUGUUCGUACGAUUCUUACAUUCUUUCCUUUUUACUCGUUUCUUACAAACAAACAAACAAACAAAAAGGGUUGACCUUGUGCUUUCUGAUUCUUUAUUUUUAUUAUAUUUGACAGCUGGUUGUGUAUUUUCAAGGAUAUCUUCUUCUCCCGCUGGUUGCGCUUGUGGGACCUUUCUGUUGUUACCGUCCUUAUUUUAAUUUUCUGUGAGGAAAAUUCAAGGUGAGUAGAGAUAUACAAGAGAUAUACAAAGAAAAGCACCGGCCAGUCCACUUUUUUAUUGCUUGGAGUUUAACAUUUCUAGUCAACGUUCUGUGAGUGCGCAAAAACAAAAUAAAGAAUCAGAAAGGUCCUACAAGCACCAGCCAGCCUGUCCACUUUCUUGUUGCUAGUAGUUUAACAUGAUUCCCUGUCAACGUUCUGUGUUCAAUGUAUACGAGGCCUCAUAGGCUCAUACUAAUUUCUUACUCCACAUAGCUCCCUUUAAACUUCUGUAAUACUGAUCCUCUUUGCAUCACGCUAAUUAAUGGAUUCUUCUUUUUUUCUCACCACUCUUGCUGCUGCAAUAGGUCUCUUUACCGUUCUGAGAAAACUUAGAUUCCAUCAAGAAGAUAACAGAAAAAAAGAUCCUUCUUCUUCAUCUCCUUCAUCUUCUUUAUCUCCUUCAAUAGUUCCUCCACCUUCUUCUUCUCGCAUCUGGACACAUGAUGUCUUUCCUAGCUUCCGCGGGGAAGAUGUACGCAGAGAUUUUCUCAGUCAUAUUCAGAUGGAGUUCGAAAGAAAAGGAAUCACUCCAUUCAUUGAUAAUGAAAUCAAAAGAGGAGAAUCUAUCGGUCCCGAGCUCAUUAGGACGAUUAGAGGAUCUAAAAUCGCAAUUAUCUUGCUCUCCAGGAACUAUGCCUCCUCAAAAUGGUGUCUUGAUGAACUGGUGGAGAUUAUGAAGUGCAGAGAAGAGUUGGGUCAGACUGUCAUGGCUGUUUUCUACAAAGUGGAUCCUUCUGAUGUGAAAAAUCUAACCGGAGAUUUUGGGAAAGUCUUUAAAAAAACUUGUGCUGGUGAAGAAAGGGAAUGCAUUGAGAGAUGGAGACAAGCUUUGGCAAAAGUGGCCACAAUCGCUGGUUAUCAUUCAGACAACUGGGUUAAUGAAGCGGCCAUGAUCAAAAAAAUCGCCACUGAUAUUUCAGACGUGCUGAAUAAUUUCACACCAUCAAAUGAUUUUGACUCGUUAGUUGGGAUGGGAGCUCAUUUAGAGAAAUUGAAACCAUUGUUAUGCAUAGGCUCAGAUGAGGUGAGGAUGAUUGGGAUUUGGGGACCUCCUGGGAUUGGUAAGACCACAAUCGCUAGAGUCGCAUACAACCAACUGUCCAACAGUUUUCAACUGAGUGUCUAUAUGGAUGAUCUCAAAGCACACCCUACAAGACUGUGUUCCGAUGACUACAGCUUAAAGUUGCAACUACAACAACAGUUUAUGUCUCAAAUAACAAACCAUAAGGAUAUGGUUGUUUCUCAUUUGGGAGUUGUGUCAAAUAGGUUGAAGGACAAGAAAGUUCUUGUUGUUCUUGAUGGCGUGGACCGGUCAAUACAACUAGAUGCAAUGGCGAAAGAGACUUGGUGGUUUGGUCCCGGAAGUCGGAUUAUAAUCACAACACAAGAUCAGAAACUUCUUAGAGCACAUGGAAUUAACCAUAUUUACAAAGUGAAUUUUCCAACAAAUGAUGAGGCUCUCCAAAUCUUUUGUAUGCAUUCUUUUGGUCAAAAGUCCCCUAAAGAUGGUUUUGAGGAGCUUGCUCGGGAAGUUACACAACUUGCUGGUGAACUCCCUUUGGGGCUAAGGGUUAUUGGUUCCUACUUCCGGGGAAUGAGUAAGCAAGAGUGGAUAAAUGUGCUACCAAGAUUAAGGACUAGCCUUGACGCUGAUAUUCGAAGCAUUUUGAAGUUCAGCUAUGAUGCUUUAGAUGAUGAAGAUAAAGAUUUAUUUCUUCAUAUAGCCUGCUUCUUCAGCUAUGAAGAGAUUCACAAAGUGGAAGAAUAUCUUGCAAAGAAGUUCAUCGACGUGAGGCAAAGACUUAACGUCUUAGCUGAAAAAUCUCUCAUAUCUAUCGACUGGGGAGUUAUAAGGAUGCAUAGUUUGCUAGAAAAAUUAGGUAGAGAAAUUGUUUGCAAACAAUCUGUUCAUGAGCCUGGACAGCGCCAGUUUCUGUACGAAUUUAGAGAGAUCUGUGAAUUGCUGACUGGUGAUGCAACAGGUAGUAAAAGUGUCAUAGGGAUAAAGCUGGACUACUACAAAAUAGAGGAAGAAUUAGAUGUAAGUGAGAAAGCCUUUGAUGGAAUGUCAAAUCUCCAAUUCUUACAAGUCACCAAUGGUUAUCGUAAAACAUUGCAAUUAACUCGAGGUCUAAACUAUCUGUCUCAUAAACUUCGACUACUACACUGGAGCCAUUUUCCUAUGUCCUGUUUUCCUUGCAAUGUAAACUUGGAGUUCCUUGUUGAACUAAUCAUGAUUGGCAGCAAGCUUGAGAAGUUGUGGGAAGGAACUAAACCGCUUCGAAGUCUCAAGUGGAUGGAUUUGAGUGAUUCUGUAAACUUGAAAGAGCUUCCUGAUUUCUCAACUGCCACCAAACUUGAGAAAUUGUAUUUACGCAAUUGCUGGAGUCUAAUCAAACUCCCUCGCUUGCCUGGAAAUACUAUGGAGGAACUAGAUAUAGGUGGAUGCUCGAGUCUUGUGGAGUUUCCCUCCUUUACUGGGAAUGCCGUUAAUCUCCUCAAAUUGAAUCUUGUCAGUUUCCCAAAUUUGGUGGAGCUCCCUUCAUAUGUUGGGAAUGCCACCAACCUGCAGAAUUUAAAUCUUAGUAACUGCUCGCAUCUGGUGGAACUUCCUCUCUCGUUUGGAAACCUGCAUAAGCUUCAGACACUGAUAUUAAAAGGAUGCAAUAAGCUAGAGAAUUUUCCCAACAACACCACACUAGAAUUUUUGAAUGAUUUUGAUCUCGCUGGAUGUUCAAGUCUUGAUCUCGGUGGAUUCUCGAGUAUCGGAAAUGUUGUCAAUCUUCAGACAUUGAAUUUAAGUAGUCUACCACAAUUGUUGGAGGUGCCUUCUUUCAUUGGGAAUGCCACUAAUCUAGAGGACUUGAUACUUAGUAAUUGCUCAAAUCUGGUGGAACUUCCUCUUUUCAUUGGAAACCUUGAGAAGUUGAAAAGGCUGAGAUUAGAAGGUUGCAGUAAGCUAGAGGUUCUUCCCACCAACAUCAACUUGGAAUCUUUGUUUGAACUUAAUCUCAAUGAUUGCUCCAUGUUGAAACGUUUUCCUGAGAUCUCCACAAAUAUUAGAAAUCUCUACCUCAUAGGAACUGCAAUAGAACAAGUGCCUCCCUCGAUCAGGUCAUGGCCUCGUCUUGAUGAGUUGAAGAUGUCAUACUUUGAAAACCUCAAGGACUUCCCUCAUGCUCUUGAAAGAAUCACAUGCAUGUGCUUGACCGACACAGAGAUAGAAGAGGUUCCUCCCUGGGUCAAGAAAAUAUCUCGUCUGAGUGUAUUCGUGCUCAAGGGAUGCCGAAAGUUGGUAACACUCCCAGCCAUUUCGGAGUCCGUCCGUUACAUGGAUGCAAGUGACUGCAACUCUCUGGAGAUACUAGAGUGCUCCUUUCACAAUCAAUACCUUACGCUCAACUUCACCAACUGCUUCAAACUGAAUCAAGAAGCGAGAAACCUCAUCAUCCAGAAUAGUUGUAGAUAUGCAGUCUUACCAGGUGGACAAGUGCCUCCAUACUUCGCUCACCGAGCUACUGGUGGAGGUCCAUUGACAAUCAAGUUGAACGAAAAGCCUCUUCCAAAGUACAUGAUAUUUAAAGCUUGCAUCUUGCUGGUUAGUAAAGUUGACCAUGACGGUUCCCCUGAAGAGAACUCGAUGGAAGUGGAUAUCAUAUAUCAAAAUAGCAAUAAAAAGCUGUAUCCGGCUUUAGCAGAGCAUCUGUACAUAUUCCGAGUCGAAGCGGAGGUUACUUCCAGCGAGCUUCUCUUUGAGUUCAAGCUGGGAAGCAAUGAUGUUUGGGAGAUAGGAGAAUGUGGGCUAGUCCAAGACUUGGAGAUCCCUUGACGUUGAUGAACACGAUGAGAGCUUGAGAGGUGGUGGCCAUGAAACAUAUAAAGUAAAUGGCUCUCUGUUUUUAUUUGUAGUGUAUUCCUCUGUUUUCUUUUGGGGGAUGUGUUGUUUUUGUCACGGGAGGAGAUUGUUAUCAGCUGCAUCCACGAACACAAAUUGGUGUCGACUUCUACAGCAGCAGCCUCAACGAUUGAAACCACCAAAAACCCUCUGAAAGAGUUUUUCGAGAGAAGCCAAGAGGAACACAAACCUGUGUGUCUACGGUGUGUUUUCUUUCUCUUCUUCAUUGUGCCUUUACAUUCCAAAGGUGAGGGGAUCAUUGUGACGUAUAAAGCAUGUUGAUCGAAAGAGCAAUUACAGAACCAGAUCCAAGAAGACCAGCCGACAUGAAACGAAUGGCAAUACACUAAUAUUAAUAAGUAACACUUGUUUGUUUGUACUGGU